Molecule: ribosomal RNA, 494 nt
Filed under: uncultured bacterium
Lineage: Bacteria
Description: partial 16S ribosomal RNA
Rfam family: Bacterial small subunit ribosomal RNA
Source: RNAcentral
GACGAACGCUGGCGGCGUGCUUAACACAUGCAAGUCGAACGGAAAGGCCUGCUUUCCCUUGUGGAUUGCGGGUACUCGCGUGGCGAACGGGUGAGUAACACGUGGGUGAUCUGCCCCCAACUUGGGUAUAAGCCUGGGAAACUGGGUCUAAUUCCCGAUAGGACUGCAGGGUGGUGCCUGUGGUGGAAAACGAUUUUCUAGUGGUUGGGGAUGAGCUCGCGGCCUAUCAGCUUGUUGGUGGGGUAAUGGCCUACGAAGGCGGCGACGGGGAGCCGGCCUGAGAGCGUGGACGGGCACAUUGGGACUGGGAGACGGCCCAGACGCCUACGGGAGGCAGCAGUGGGGAAUAUUGGGGAAUGGGCGGAAGCCUGAUGCAGCGACGCCGCGUGGGGGAUGACGGCCUUCGGGUUGUAAACUCCUUUCGACCGCGAGGAAGCCACCUGGUUGGAAGGGUGGUGACGGUAGUGGUAGAAGAAGCACCGGCUAACUACGUG